GAUGAACGCUGGCGGCGUGCUUAACACAUGCAAGUCGAACGGGAAUUACUUUAUUGAAACUUCGGUCGAUUUAAUUUAAUUCUAGUGGCGGACGGGUGAGUAACGCGUGGGUAACCUGCCUUAUACAGGGGGAUAACAGUCAGAAAUGGCUGCUAAUACCGCAUAAGCGCACAGAGCUGCAUGGCUCAGUGUGAAAAACUCCGGUGGUAUAAGAUGGACCCGCGUUGGAUUAGCUAGUUGGUGGGGUAACGGCCCACCAAGGCGACGAUCCAUAGCCGGCCUGAGAGGGUGAACGGCCACAUUGGGACUGGGACACGGCCCAGACUCCUACGGGAGGCAGCAGUGGGGAAUAUUGCACAAUGGGGGAAACCCUGAUGCAGCGACGCCGCGUGGAGGAAGAAGUAUCUCGGUAUGUAAACUUCUAUCAGCAGGGAAGAUAAUGACGGUACCUGACUAAGAAGCCCCGGCUAACUACGUGCCAGCCGCCGCAGUAA
RNAcentral lists this ribosomal RNA (494 nucleotides) under uncultured bacterium. RNAcentral describes it as "partial 16S ribosomal RNA". It matches the Rfam family "Bacterial small subunit ribosomal RNA", at positions 28 to 523 of the family's 1533-position model. The record is from RNAcentral.